RNAcentral lists this small nuclear RNA (119 nucleotides) under Sorex araneus (European shrew). RNAcentral describes it as "U1 spliceosomal RNA (ENSSARG00000014677.1)". It matches the Rfam family "U1 spliceosomal RNA". Rfam says of the family: U1 is a small nuclear RNA (snRNA) component of the spliceosome (involved in pre-mRNA splicing). Its 5' end forms complementary base pairs with the 5' splice junction, thus defining the 5' donor site of an intron. Lineage: Eukaryota; Metazoa; Chordata; Mammalia; Eulipotyphla; Soricidae. The record is from RNAcentral.
AUAGUUACCUGGCAGAGGAGAGACCCCGAUCUUGAGGGGGCCUCCCAGGGCGGGGCUUAUCCACUGCACUCGGCGGUGCUGACCCUGCGAUUUCCCCAAAUGUGGGAAACUGCAUUGAC